RNAcentral lists this unclassified non-coding RNA (278 nucleotides) under uncultured fungus. RNAcentral's name for it is "partial contains small subunit ribosomal RNA, internal transcribed spacer 1, and 5.8S ribosomal RNA". The stretch from base 1 to 73 matches the Rfam family "Eukaryotic small subunit ribosomal RNA", at positions 1759 to 1831 of the family's 1831-position model. Lineage: Eukaryota; Fungi. The record is from RNAcentral.
GCAAACUUGGUCAUUUAGAGGAAGUAAAAGUCGUAACAAGGUCUCCGUUGGUGAACCAGCGGAGGGAUCAUUACCGAGCUUACAACUCCGAAAACCCCUGUGAAUAUACCUAUCGUUGCCUCGGCGGGACAGCCCCGGCGCCCAAGGCCCGGAACCAGGCGCCCGCCGGAGGACCCAAACUCUUGUCUCGCGAAUGUGUAUCUUCUGAGUGACAUAAGUAAUAAAUCAAAACUUUCAACAACGGAUCUCUUGGUUCUGGCAUCGAUGAAGAACGCAGC